Molecule: long non-coding RNA, 912 nt
Organism: Vicia villosa (hairy vetch)
Lineage: Eukaryota; Viridiplantae; Streptophyta; Magnoliopsida; Fabales; Fabaceae
Exons: 4
Source: RefSeq, a predicted model, not a curated record
CAAACACGGCCGCUCCUUCUCCUCCAACCUCCUUUCAUUUCUCUUCUUUGUACAAGGAAGCAACAACGCCUCUUUCCCUUUCAAUUUCACGAUUAUGGAAAAUACAAUGGAAGAACAGAAAUUUUUCCCGUCUUCCCCUCUAUCGCUCUCGAUGAACAACAAUCAAGACCUCUCUCCCGAUUUCUCUCUCGAUUUCUAUUCCUCUCUCGAUCGAUUCCUCUCCGCGUAGACAACAACAAAACCCUCUUUCUUGUUUUCUAUCUCUCUCGCGAUCGGCCCUCUCUUUCGUGAGCUUUCUAUCUCUCGCGUUUUGCUUGCGGCCAUGGAAGGAGCUUUGAAAGCUCAUGUCAACAAGAACAAAUUUUCACUUGCAAACAGGGAUGGAUAUCGGGACAAUACACAAGGACAAAAUAUUUGCAGCAACUAUUAACAGUAAUAUUGAGAGUACUCUCAAGAAAACUUUCUGUUGCUUCCUUGUACUCUCAAGGAGAAAGAUCAGGCAGAGUCAGAACAACCGAAAUCACAUUCUGCUUUCUCUUUUCCCGAAAUCGCAAGGCGUCUUCUCGCCGAUCGUCUUCUAGCAGAAGCAGAAGCAUCAGAAGAGGCUAAUCCGAAAUCCCCUUUCUGCUCCAGCAAGCACAAGGUUCCUUUAUUAUCUCUUGAAGCUUUGCAUCAUCUACACAUCUUCAUUUUAUUUAAGUUUUUGAAGAGGGCUUGUUGUUUUGAUCAAUAUCAAAAUGGCAUGGAAGGGCAAUGUAAGAAACUUCUGAAUUGUGUGUUGUCUAUGAUUCUCAUUGUUUUUUGUUUUGAAUUGUGUGUUGUUUUGAAUUAAGUGUUUUGUUUUGUUUUUCUGGUUUCUUGUUCUUACAAGUUGUAGCAUGUAAGAAACAUGAAGUGGAAUUGAUACUCUUU